AUGGAGUAUCCGUAGCUGAAUACAUAGGCUACGUGAAGCGAACGCGGUGAACUGAAACAUCUAAGUAACCGCAGGAAAAGAAAUCAACCGAGAUUCCCAAAGUAGUGGCGAGCGAAAUGGGACCAGCCUGUACUCUUUAUCUUUGCUGUUAGCCAAACGCUCUGGAAAGUGCGGCCAUAGUGGGUGAUAGCCCCGUAGGCGAAAACAGCGAGGAAGAACUAGGUGUACGACAAGUAGGGCGGGACACGUGAAAUCCUGUCUGAAGAUGGGGGGACCAUCCUCCAAGGCUAAAUACUCGUGAUCGACCGAUAGUGAACCAGUACCGUGAGGGAAAGGCGAAAAGAACCCCGGGAGGGGAGUGAAAUAGAUCCUGAAACCGCAUGCAUACAAACAGUCGGAGCCUCGCAAGGGGUGACGGCGUACCUUUUGUAUAAUGGGUCAGCGACUUACAUUCAGUGGCGAGCUUAACCGAUUAGGGCAGGCGUAGCGAAAGCGAGUCCGAACAGGGCGAUUCAGUCGCUGGGUGUAGACCCGAAACCAGGUGAUCUAUCCAUGGCCAGGAUGAAGGUGCGGUAACACGUACUGGAGGUCCGAACCCACUAACGUUGAAAAGUUAGGGGAUGAGCUGUGGAUAGGGGUGAAAGGCUAAACAAACCUGGAAAUAGCUGGUUCUCUCCGAAAACUAUUUAGGUAGUGCCUCGUGUAUCACCUUCGGGGGUAGAGCACUGUCAUGGUUGAAGGGUCCAUUGCGGAUUACUUCGCCAUAGCAAACUCCGAAUACCGAAGAGUGCAAUCACGGGAGACAGACAUCGGGUGCUAACGUCCGGUGUCAAGAGGGAAACAACCCAGACCGCCAGCUAAGGUCCCCAAAUAUGACUAAGUGGGAAACGAAGUGGGAAGGCUAAAACAGUCAGGAGGUUGGCUUAGAAGCAGCCAUCCUUUAAAGAAAGCGUAAUAGCUCACUGAUCGAGUCGUCCUGCGCGGAAGAUGUAACGGGGCUAAGUCAUAUACCGAAGCUGCGGAUGCA
This 1027-nucleotide ribosomal RNA is filed under the name Paraburkholderia hospita. RNAcentral describes it as "bacterial LSU rRNA". It matches the Rfam family "Bacterial large subunit ribosomal RNA", at positions 143 to 1210 of the family's 2925-position model. The record is from RNAcentral. Lineage: Bacteria; Pseudomonadati; Pseudomonadota; Betaproteobacteria; Burkholderiales; Burkholderiaceae.